CAGUCGCCGCGGUAAUACGUAGGGCGCAAGCGUUAUCCGGAAUUAUUGGGCGUAAAGAGCUCGUAGGCGGUUUGUCGCGUCUGCCGUGAAAGUCCGGGGCUCAACCCCGGAUCUGCGGUGGGUACGGGCAGACUAGAGUGAUGUAGGGGAGACUGGAAUUCCUGGUGUAGCGGUGAAAUGCGCAGAUAUCAGGAGGAACACCGAUGGCGAAGGCAGGUCUCUGGGCAUUAACUGACGCUGAGGAGCGAAAGCAUGGGGAGCGAACAGGAUUAGAGACCCCCGUAGUCCCUGUCUCUUAUAC
This 301-nucleotide ribosomal RNA is filed under the name uncultured bacterium. Its description in RNAcentral is "partial 16S ribosomal RNA". It matches the Rfam family "Bacterial small subunit ribosomal RNA", at positions 509 to 807 of the family's 1533-position model. The record is from RNAcentral.